AGCAGCCGCGGUAAUUCCAGCUCCAAUAGCGUAUAUUAAAGUUGUUGCAGUUAAAAAGCUCGUAGUUGAAUUUCGGGAUUGACGUGAUGGUCGUGCCUUACGGGGUAUGAACUGUUGCAGUCAAUUUCUCACCUUCUGGAGAAAUAUGAUGUCCUUAAUUGGGUGUCAUAUGGAACCAGAACCUUUACCUUGAAAAAAUUAGAGUGUUUAAAGCAGGCUUAUUGCUCGAAUACAUUAGCAUGGAAUAAUAAAAUAGGACGGCAUGGUUCUAUUUUGUUGGUUUCUAGGAUCACCGUAAUGAUUAAUAGGGAUAGUUGGGGGCAUUAGUAUUCAAUUGUCAGAGGUGAAAUUCUUGGAUUUAUUGAAGACUAACUACUGCGAAAGCAUUUGCCAAGGAUGUUUUCAUUAAUCAAGAACGAAAGUUAGGGGAUCGAAGACGAUCAGAUACCGUCGUAGUCUUAACCAUAAACUAUGCCGACUAGGAAUCAGACGAUGUUAAUUUUUUAAU
This 508-nucleotide ribosomal RNA is filed under the name uncultured Entrophospora. RNAcentral describes it as "SSU rRNA". It matches the Rfam family "Eukaryotic small subunit ribosomal RNA", at positions 569 to 1075 of the family's 1831-position model. The record is from RNAcentral. Lineage: Eukaryota; Fungi; Glomeromycota; Glomeromycetes; Entrophosporales; Entrophosporaceae.